RNAcentral lists this ribosomal RNA (327 nucleotides) under uncultured eukaryote. RNAcentral describes it as "partial 18S ribosomal RNA". It matches the Rfam family "Eukaryotic small subunit ribosomal RNA", at positions 1470 to 1796 of the family's 1831-position model. The record is from RNAcentral.
CCCUUAGAUGUCCUGGGCCGCACGCGCGUUACACUGAUGCAUUCAACGAGCUUAUAACCUUGGCCGAGAGGCCUGGGCAAUCUUGUUAACGUGCAUCGUGAUAGGGAUAGAUUAUUGAAAUUAUUAAUCUUGAACGAGGAAUUCCUAGUAAACGCAGAUCAUCAAUCUGCAUUGAUUACGUCCCUGCCCUUUGUACACACCGCCCGUCGCACCUACCGAUUGGAUGGUCCGGUGAAGCCUCGGGAUUGUGGCCAGUUCACUUUAUUGGGAGUUGGCUGUGAGAACCUGUCUAAACCUUAUCAUUUAGAGGAAGGUGAAGUCGUAACA